GACGAACGCUGGCGGCGUGCUUAACACAUGCAAGUCGAACGGAAAGGCCCUGCUUUUGUGGGGUGCUCGAGUGGCGAACGGGUGAGUAACACGUGAGUAACCUGCCCUUGACUUUGGGAUAACUUCAGGAAACUGGGGCUAAUACCGGAUAGGUGCUCCUGCUGCAUGGUGGGGGUUGGAAAGUUUCGGCGGUUGGGGAUGGACUGGCGGCUUAUCAGCUUGUUGGUGGGGUAGUGGCUUACCAAGGCUUUGACGGGUAGCCGGCCUGAGAGGGUGACCGGCCACAUUGGGACUGAGAUACGGCCCAGACUCCUACGGGAGGCAGCAGUGGGGAAUAUUGCACAGUGGGCGGAAGCCUGAUGCAGCAACGCCGCGUGCGGGAUGACGGCCUUCGGGUUGUAAACCGCUUUCGCCUGUGACGAAGCGUGAGUGACGGUAAUGGGUAAAGAAGCACCGGCUAACUACGUG
This 468-nucleotide ribosomal RNA is filed under the name uncultured bacterium. Its description in RNAcentral is "partial 16S ribosomal RNA". It matches the Rfam family "Bacterial small subunit ribosomal RNA", at positions 28 to 507 of the family's 1533-position model. The record is from RNAcentral.